This 450-nucleotide ribosomal RNA is filed under the name uncultured bacterium. RNAcentral's name for it is "partial 16S ribosomal RNA". It matches the Rfam family "Bacterial small subunit ribosomal RNA", at positions 354 to 796 of the family's 1533-position model. The record is from RNAcentral.
GUGGGGAAUUUUGGACAAUGGGCGCAAGCCUGAUCCAGCAAUGCCGCGUGCAGGAAGAAGGCCUUCGGGUUGUAAACUGCUUUUGUACGGAACGAAACGGCUCUGGUUAAUACCCGGGGCUAAUGACGGUACCCCGCGAAUAAGCCCCGGCUAACUACGUGCCAGCAGCCGCGGUAAUACGUAGGGGGCGAGCGUUGCUCGGAUUGACUGGGCGUAAAGCGCGCGUAGGCGGUCCAUUAAGUGUGCGGUGAAAUUCGGAGGCUCAACCUCCGUCCCGCCGCGCAAACUGAUGGUCUUGAGAUUGGGAGGGGGAUGCGGAAUUCCUGGUGUAGCGGUGAAAUGCAUUGAUAUCAGGAGGAACACCGGCGGCGAAAGCGGCAUCCUGGCUUAUAUCUGACGCUGAGGCGCGAAAGCGUGGGUAGCAAACGGGAUUAGAUACCCUGGUAGUCC